UUUCAAACACUAAAAUGCUGCUUGUAAAUGUAAAAUAAAAAAGAAAGAAAAGAAAUUAUCUUAAUUAAAUUAUGGUUUAUUGAUUUUACUUUUUAAGUAUAUAUUUAAACCGGUUGUUAUGUAUUUUUUUUUUUAGUUUAAUGUGGGUAUCCGGGCCAGCUUGCGCGCACCUCGAUUAAUUCCAACGGGCCUUGAAGUUAACGACCAUGUAAGCCUCCAGUGGCCAUCAUAUGAGCAACCACAUGGCUCGAACCUGAGACCACAAAGGGAGCAAAUCUCUUGGUUCCAAGUUCUUACUACUAGGCCACCAUCUAGAAGGUUCGGUUGUUAUGUAUUAAGACUACAGAAACUGGACAAUUUUUAAAAAGAAGAUUAGAAUAAGAAGUAGAAUCAGAAAUGAAUGAUUCAUAAUAGAAAAUUCAUUAAUACUAAGAAACCAAAAAAAUGGUUUUCCUGACUGAUAUGAACAAUAAAGAAAAUUCUCUAAGCUUUUCAAAAUAUAUAUCGGGUAACAAAUUGGACAAUUUCUGGUGCGGUGAAACAAGUAAUAACUCGAAGGUUUGUGAAACUCAACUACCUGACCAGGCAAACUUUCACUCAAAAAUGAUUUUGAUAGCGUUGCUUAAUGAACUACAAGUCGAUAUACCUCUCCUUUCCAAGAAACCUCUCGGGGCACGCCACAAUCCAUAGAUUGAAAUUGUGGUGUGUAGAAAAAACGAAGUAGACAAUAAUGUUGAAAAGUCAAGUCAAUGAUUCUUCGGACGCAUUUAUUAGAAUAAUAUGUUACUUGCCUUGGUUUAAUUCUCUGGCUAGCCACAUAUAAAAAUGUCCAUGGUCUUUGUUUAUAUUCUAGCAGCUAACUAUUUGCAGCAUUGCUGCUGCUCACAAAAGCCAGCAAAAUCAACAACUUUAAGCAUGUCUAUUAAGAAAACUCUUUCACUAACCAGCAAAGCCGUUAAGGACGAUCAGGUCUCGGAAAAACGCAGGCGGUCUGAUCGAUGCUUUUCAUUCAAGGAGAUAUCGAUAGAACCAGGAAAAUCACUAAAAGACCUGGAUUCAAACAAGUUCAAGAUUGAUAUCAAGAGAUGGGCCAGGGCUGUUGUGGCAUAUGCACGCCAAGUAAGUAGCAGGUUUGGAAGCGCUAGAAAAAGUGGCCGGAUUGGAAGCUCUCGUGAUUCAUCACAGGACUCCAUAUAGUUGAAGAUUUGAAGAACUGGGCCCAUGAAUGUUCACACGUUCAUGACUGCCCCAUCUCGAGGAAGGAAAACUGAAAAAAUUGAUGUCAAGCUACGAAAAUGUGUUCAAGCAAGACAGGAUCAACCUCGAGGGAGAUCAGAGUUUGGUCCAUCAGCUCGAAACGGAGGCGCAACUUGUGUGCAAAGUCAAUAUCUUGGAGAUGGGGUUCAUGUAUACAAAGACACUAAUCGUUCUGAUUGUUUUUUCAUUCCAUUUAUAAUUAAUACGAUCUGUUGAUGAUAUGAAGCAAGUGGAUUUUGUUUUUUAUUUCUUCGUUCUUUCUUCCAUUAAUAAGACGACAUUGGAAGAUGUUGGGCA
Long non-coding RNA from Populus trichocarpa (black cottonwood), 1554 nucleotides. RefSeq lists it as uncharacterized. The record is from RefSeq and is a predicted model, not a curated record. NCBI's taxonomy places the organism in Eukaryota, Viridiplantae, Streptophyta, Magnoliopsida, Malpighiales, Salicaceae. The transcript has 2 exons.